Cyanistes caeruleus (blue tit) is the source of this 1387-nucleotide non-coding RNA. The record is from RefSeq and is a predicted model, not a curated record. NCBI's taxonomy places the organism in Eukaryota, Metazoa, Chordata, Aves, Passeriformes, Paridae.
AUAUGGCUGUGACAGCAAAACACCUUGUUUAAAUAUCUGACGUGCUGGGACUCUGCCUGUUGCCUCACAAACAGGCUUGGCACACCCUGUCUCCUCGUCCCCUGUCACCAUCCAUGGGUGGUUCCUGUCACACCUCCAGCUGAGGUGGGGCUGGGCAGGGGCUGCUCCCUGGCUGUGUCCCUCUCCCCUCUCCCUCCAUACAGGUGCCAUGGGACAUUGGCCUCAUCCAUCACCACCACAGACUGGUAGGGUCAAUUUUGCACCAGCCGCUUCACUACUCUCCCUUAGGCUUUCCUAGUGUAAAUCAGAAGGACACAGAGUAUCCUUCCUUUGAUUCAAAGCACAGAGGGGAUUUUUUUGGGGUGGGACACACCAGGCAGAGCACUGUUUUUUCCAUCAAACCACCCUAGACAUUAAAUGCUUCCCACCAGCACUAAGCAGCCCCCUGCCAUUGCCCCCCUGGGGGACAUCUUCAUGUGCCUUCACCAAGAGAGGCUCCCCAUGCUGUCCUUCCCCUCCAAAUCCCCUUUCCCACCACAGCUAAGGCAGCAAACAUCUGGCUCACCAUCACGGGGAUGUGUAUUAUGGAUAGACCCACUUUGGGCCACCUUUUCCCUUAGGCUGUGGUCCCUAGGCCAGCUAGAAACCAUUCCAGCCUGCUCUGAUGCCUUCCCUGGGGAACUCGUUCUGAGAUUAGAGGCUGAGCGUGGGAUGUUUCCUUGUGGCUACUUCAUGUUUUACUACAGAGCAAUAAAUAUAAGAUUUGACAUUUCCAGCACUUGGCCAGGGCAAACUGGUGCAAAACCAGUGAAGAUUCCCUCCUGGUACAAAGCAAAGUUUCCAGCCUUGCUAAGUGAGCUUUUAUUCACACAUCCCUCUUAUUCACACCGUGUGUGCCGGUACCUCCGAGGGAGGCUCCUGCUCAGGGAUGGGCGCUGACGCACACCAGCACCCUGCCAACAGGAACUGGAAGUCCCAAGCCAGGCAGGAACGGGCAAGAAGGGCCUGUGUGGGGGCUGUGCUGAGCUAUGCAGCAGCUUAUCCCCCACGGAGCAGCCUUCCUGCACCACUGUCAGCUGGGAUGAUCUAUUUCCUCCUAUCGAUCAGCAGUUAUAGAAAAUAAAUACAUGCAGAUAUUGCCAUAGCUCUGUAUAGUCCUCAGUCCCUACAGCUGUGGGGAACAGGCUCUGAUUUGAGGGGAGGGGGGGCUGCACUGCUGCUCUGUAGGGUUGGGGCAAUGUUUUUCAGGGUGCACCUCCACAUGCUCACACCAGGAUCCUCCUGGGAUGCUGGGGAGAGUAAAGCUCUUUAGAAACAAGUAAACCCCUUGACCUUACUACUAGAGCUGGAAAUAACUUUCUAAUCACUUUUCCUUGAUCCAAAAAAA